Molecule: ribosomal RNA, 253 nt
Filed under: uncultured bacterium
Lineage: Bacteria
Description: partial 16S ribosomal RNA
Rfam family: Bacterial small subunit ribosomal RNA
Source: RNAcentral
UACGGAGGGUGCAAGCGUUGCUCGGAAUUAUUGGGCGUAAAGGGCAGGUAGGUGGUCUCAUUUGUCUACGGUGAAAUCCUUGGGCUUAACUCAAGAAGUGCCUUAGAAACGGUGAGACUGGAGUCCUGGAGAGGGUCGUGGAAUUCCCGGUGUAGCGGUGAAAUGCGCAGAUAUCGGGAGGAACACCGGUGGCGAAGGCGGUUCUCUGGGCCUUACCUGACGCUGAGGAGCGAAAGCGUGGGGAGCGAACAGG